AUGCAAAGAACUUUGAAAAGAGAGUUAAAGAGUACCUGAAAUUGCUGAAAGGGAAGCGAAGGAAACCAGUGUUGGGCUCAGUCAUACUUCUCGUGCCACUUGUGGCAAGGGCGCUGUGUCUGGGCACAUGUCAGGGUCAGUUCAUGAUCGGAGGAGAUGUUGUUUCAACAGGUAGCCCCCUUGUGGGGUUUUUAAUUGAGACUUUUGAUUCUGGUCAGUGCUGAGGCAGUUACAUUUUGUACUUGUGAUGCUGACAAAAUGGUUUUCUUUACCCCGUCUUGAAACACGGACCGAGGAGUCUAACAUAUGUGCGAGUACAGGGGUGACAAACCCCCGUGCGCAAUGAAAGUGACAGUGGUUGGACCCUUUGGGGCACAAUCCGCCGGCCACAAUCCUUCGGGAAAAAGGUCUGAGUGUGAGCACACAUGUUGGGACCCGAAAGAUGGUGAACUAUGCGUGAAUAGGGCGAAGCCAGGGGAAACUCUGGUGGAGGCUCGUAGCGAUUCUGACGUGCAAAUCGAUCGUCAAAUUUGCGUAUAGGGGCGAAAGACUAAUCGAACUAUCUAGUAGCUGGUUCCCUCCGAAAUUUCCCUCAGGAUAGCUGCAAUCGAACGUCAAUUUUAUGA
RNAcentral lists this ribosomal RNA (626 nucleotides) under Skeletonema sp. 1BOF. RNAcentral's name for it is "eukaryotic LSU rRNA". It matches the Rfam family "Eukaryotic large subunit ribosomal RNA", at positions 364 to 1006 of the family's 3401-position model. The record is from RNAcentral. Lineage: Eukaryota; Bacillariophyta; Thalassiosirophyceae; Thalassiosirales; Thalassiosiraceae.